AAGUAAUAAAAUUUUAAACAAACAAAGUGGGCUAGAGCCCAAACAAAUCAAACCACAACAGCCCAAAUACCAAAUCAUAACAAAUCCAUCAAACAAAGGAACAAGGCUUUUACUUGACUGGGCUCCGGUGAUGACCCAAGAAGACCGGUCUGCUCAAGAACGCCCCAAGCUUGCCUCUUCAACCUAAUACGCUUCACCCAAAAUGCACCGUUGGGUGCUAGUGCAGCAGCUGCUCUUCUUCUCAAAGCUACGUCGUUUGGACUACAACCCCUUUUUACCCAAAAUGACACUGUUUCACGCUAACCUUAAAUAUAAAAGCAUUCUUUUCUAUCCUCUCUCCCCAUUUUCCUUCUUCCAUUUCUCUUUCUAGUCGAUUUCCUCUUACUUCUCUCUAAUCCCACAAGUCGCGACCUUCAUUCUCCUCCCUCACUCUUUCCCUCACCGACGAUCGAAAGAUCAAACACAAACCCCUUUAAAUCUCUCUCUCCUUGCCGAUUAUCAGAAGACUGAACCAAGAAAACCCUUAAACCUUCUUGAUUUGAAAAACCAGAACCUGAAACCUAAAUUUUGCUACCUUUCCCCAUUUUUGUUUUUUUUUUUUGUUUCUAUUUUCUCUCUUUU
RNAcentral lists this long non-coding RNA (621 nucleotides) under Theobroma cacao (cacao). RNAcentral's name for it is "long non-coding RNA (TCAC_LNC002658)". Lineage: Eukaryota; Viridiplantae; Streptophyta; Magnoliopsida; Malvales; Malvaceae. The record is from RNAcentral.